AAAAUUGAUUUCAGACAGUCUUCGCGGAGAGUUGCCGCGGUUUCCUGCUUCAACAGUGCUUGAACGGAACCCGGCUGCUCGUCCCCCCCUCACCCCGGCCGGCCACUCAGAGCCAGCCCUCGUCACCACUUGACAGCGCCCUCCGACCGGCCCAAGGUCCCCGCCGCCACUCCAGCACCGCUCAGCCGUCGCCGCCGCCGCCACCACCACCACCGCCCCUUUUCAGCCGCCCACCAUGACGACCGCAUCCCCCUCGCAGGUGCGCCAGAACUACCACCAGGACUCGGAGGCCGCCAUCAACCGCCAGAUCAAUCUGGAGCUCUACGCCUCCUAUGUCUACCUGUCCAUGUCGUACUAUUUUGACCGUGAUGAUGUGGCUUUGAAGAACUUUGCCAAAUACUUUCUUCACCAAUCUCAUGAGGAGAGGGAACAUGCUGAGAGACUGAUGAAGCUGCAGAACCAGCGAGGCGACCGAAUCUUCCUUCAGGAUAUCAAGAAACCAGACCGUGAUGACUGGGAGAAUGGGCUGAAUGCAAUGGAAUGUGCGCUGUGCUUGGAAAGAAAUGUGAAUCAGUCGCUACUGGAACUGCACGAACUGGCCACUGAAAAAAAUGAUCCCCAUCUGUGUGAUUUCAUUGAGACUCAUUACCUGAGUGAGCAGGUGGAAGCCAUCAAAGAAUUGGGUGACCACAUAACCAACCUGCGCAAGAUGGGGGCCCCUGGAUCGGGCAUGGCAGAGUACCUCUUUGACAAGCACACCCUGGGACACAGUGACAGCUAAGCCUCAGGCUGGCUUCCCACAGCCACACGGGUGACUUCCCUGGUCACCAAGGCAGUGCAUGCAUAUUUGGGUUACCUUCAUCUUUUCUAUAAGUUGUAACAAAACAUCUACUUAAGUUCUUUCUUUAGUACCAUUCCUUCAAAUAAAGUAAUUUGGUACCC
This is an RNA transcript of Capra hircus (goat), 942 nucleotides long. It is a transcript of the gene named ferritin heavy chain pseudogene, with no coding region annotated. NCBI's taxonomy places the organism in Eukaryota, Metazoa, Chordata, Mammalia, Artiodactyla, Bovidae. The transcript has a single exon. The record is from RefSeq and is a predicted model, not a curated record.